GAUGAACGCUGGCGGCGUGCUUAACACAUGCGAGUCGAACGGAAAGGCCCAAGCUUGCUUGGGUACUCGAGUGGCGAACGGGUGAGUAACACGUGGGUGAUCUGCCCUGCACUUCGGGAUAAGCCUGGGAAACUGGGUCUAAUACCGGAUAGGACCACAUUUUGGAUGGUGUGGUGGAAAGUUUUUCGGUGUGGGAUGAGCUCGCGGCCUAUCAGCUUGUUGGUGGGGUAAUGGCCUACCAAGGCGUCGACGGGUAGCCGGCCUGAGAGGGUGUACGGCCACAUUGGGACUGAGAUACGGCCCAGACUCCUACGGGAGGCAGCAGUGGGGAAUAUUGCACAAUGGGCGCAAGCCUGAUGCAGCGACGCCGCGUGGGGGAUGACGGCCUUCGGGUUGUAAACUCCUUUCGCUAGGGACGAAGCGCAAGUGACGGUACCUGGAGAAGAAGCGCCGGCUAACUACGUG
Molecule: ribosomal RNA, 465 nt
Filed under: uncultured bacterium
Lineage: Bacteria
Description: partial 16S ribosomal RNA
Rfam family: Bacterial small subunit ribosomal RNA
Source: RNAcentral